AGGCAUUUGUGUCAGGGAUGUGACCUCCCUGGGUUCCCUCAAGGUGACCUGCAUCCUGCAGCUCUCUCCUCAGGGUCGGCGGGAACGCGACUCCCCAAACCCGGGUUGAACCCAGCUCAGGGGCUUGUUUGCUGAACACCAACCAGGAAGACCAGGUGUGACCGAGAGGAGGAUCAGGUGAGGAAACUGCUCAGGGAAGGGACUAACUUUGAGAAUCAACAGCAGUGAAGUGAAGAGGAGGAAGAAAAGGCUACGAAGAGCAAAUGUAACUCUUCCUCAAGCGUCAGAGGUCAAGAUAAGAAAUGCCUCCUGCCAUCCAUCCUCUGAUCACCCAGGGCAUCUAACUGCACCUCAGCCCUCAGGGCUACGGGACAGAAAUGGAGAACAUACAAUCAGCAGAGGAAACAUACUCAGAGAGCCCCGAGUUCUGCCAGAGCUGGGAUUCCCAGUCUCUGUUGUUUAG
Molecule: long non-coding RNA, 463 nt
Organism: Ochotona princeps (American pika)
Lineage: Eukaryota; Metazoa; Chordata; Mammalia; Lagomorpha; Ochotonidae
Exons: 5
Source: RefSeq, a predicted model, not a curated record